Molecule: unclassified non-coding RNA, 406 nt
Filed under: soil metagenome
Description: partial contains 5.8S ribosomal RNA, internal transcribed spacer 2, and large subunit ribosomal RNA
Rfam family: 5.8S ribosomal RNA (bases 1-121)
Source: RNAcentral
GAUGAAGAACGAAGCGAAAUGCGAUAAGUAAUGUGAAUUGCAGAAUUCAGUGAAUCAUCGAAUCUUUGAACGCACCUUGCGCCCUUUGGCUAUUCCGAAGGGCAUGCCUGUUUGAGUAUCAUGAACACCUCAACUCUCAUGGAUUGCCAUGAAGAGCUUGGACUAUGGGGGUCUUGCUGGCCUGUGGUCGGCUCCUCUCAAAUGAAUCAGCUUGCCGGUGUUUGGUGGCGUCACAGGUGUGAUAACUAUCUACGCUUGUGGUGUUUUCCACCAGGUAACCUUGAGCAAUGGAGGUUCGCUGGGGCUCAUAAAAGUCUCUCCUCGGUGAGGACAGCUCUUUUUGAACGUUUGAUCUCAAAUCAGGUAGGACUACCCGCUGAACUUAAGCAUAUCAAUAAGCGGAGGA